AUUGAACGCUGGCGGCAGGCUUAACACAUGCAAGUCGAGCGGGGUGAUGGUGCUUGCACUAUCACUUAGCGGCGGACGGGUGAGUAAUGCUUAGGAAUCUGCCUAUUAGUGGGGGACAACAUCUCGAAAGGGAUGCUAAUAGCGCAUACGUCCUACGGGAGAAAGCAGGGGAUCACUGGUGACCUUGCGCUAAUAGACGAGGCUAAGUCGGAUUAGCUAGAUGGUGGGGUAAAGGCCUACCGAGGCGACGAUCUGUAGCGGGUCUGAGAGGCUGAUCCGCCGCACUGGGACUGAGACACGGCCCAGACUCCUACGGGAGGCAGCAGUGGGGAAUAUUGGACAAUGGGGGGAACCCUGAUCCAGCCAUGCCGCGUGUGUGAAGAAGGCCUUAUGGUUGUAAAGCACUUUAAGCGAGGAGGAGGCUCUUUUGGUUAAUACCCAAGAUGAGUGGACGUUACUCGCAGAAUAAGCACCGGCUAACUCUGUGCCAGCCGCCGCAGUAA
Molecule: ribosomal RNA, 503 nt
Filed under: uncultured bacterium
Lineage: Bacteria
Description: partial 16S ribosomal RNA
Rfam family: Bacterial small subunit ribosomal RNA
Source: RNAcentral